RNAcentral lists this ribosomal RNA (943 nucleotides) under Cortinarius violaceus. Its description in RNAcentral is "eukaryotic LSU rRNA". It matches the Rfam family "Eukaryotic large subunit ribosomal RNA", at positions 1 to 925 of the family's 3401-position model. The record is from RNAcentral. Lineage: Eukaryota; Fungi; Basidiomycota; Agaricomycetes; Agaricales; Cortinariaceae.
UGUGACCUCAAAUCAGGUAGGACUACCCGCUGAACUUAAGCAUAUCAAUAAGCGGAGGAAAAGAAACUAACAAGGAUUCCCCUAGUAACUGCGAGUGAAGCGGGAAAAGCUCAAAUUUAAAAUCUGUCAGUCUUUUUGGCUGUCCGAGUUGUAAUCUAGAGAAGUGUUAUCCGCGCUGGACCGUGUACAAGUCUCCUGGAAUGGAGCGUCGUAGAGGGUGAGAAUCCCGUCUUUGACACGGACUGCCAGGGCUUUGUGAUGCGCUCUCAAAGAGUCGAGUUGUUUGGGAAUGCAGCUCAAAAUGGGUGGUAAAUUCCAUCUAAAGCUAAAUAUUGGCGAGAGACCGAUAGCGAACAAGUACCGUGAGGGAAAGAUGAAAAGAACUUUGGAAAGAGAGUUAAACAGUACGUGAAAUUGCUGAAAGGGAAACGCUUGAAGUCAGUCGCGUUGACCAGGGAUCAACCCUUGCUUUUGCUGGGUGUACUUUCUGGUUGACGGGUCAGCAUCAAUUUUGACCAUUGGAAAAAGAUUAGGGGAAUGUGGCAUCUUCGGAUGUGUUAUAGCCUCUGGUUGCAUACAAUGGUUGAGAUUGAGGAACUCAGCACGCCGCAAGGCCGGGUUUUUAACCACGUACGUGCUUAGGAUGUUGGCAUAAUGGCUUUAAUCGACCCGUCUUGAAACACGGACCAAGGAGUCUAACAUACCUGCGAGUGUUUGGGUGGAAAACCCGAGCGCGUAAUGAAAGUGAAAGUUGAGAUCCCUGUCGUGGGGAGCAUCGACGCCCGGACCAGACCUUUUGUGACGGUUCCGCGGUAGAGCAUGUAUGUUGGGACCCGAAAGAUGGUGAACUAUGCCUGAAUAGGGUGAAGCCAGAGGAAACUCUGGUGGAGGCUCGUAGCGAUUCUGACGUGCAAAUCGAUCGUCAAAUUUGGGUAUAGGGGCG